AGGGAGACAUGAGACAUCAAUCAACACAUGUAAGAUGAACAUUGGUUCAGUCUGGAAAAGGCCGGGCAACGCCAAGCAAAUGUGGGACAACUCGCAGCCAGGAGAAAGCUUCCAGGUCACAGUAUUUUUGACUUACCACGUGUUUAUUGGGACGUAACCCCUUCCUAAGAUGAAGAGCAUCUGUAUACAUCCAGAAUCCUGUGGAGCAACUCAUAACCCAUGAGGAAUGGAAGCCGACAGACAGACUCAUCCCCAGGACAGGUGGUUCUCACUACAUCUCAUAAAGCUUCUUAGAAGAUCUUACAGGAUUGAGCAACCAGCCAGCCACAGCAGGGGCCAACUGGAUAACACGUCUUUGCAUAGGCUCUCCCUCUGUCCCUGUCACCCUCCCCUUUUCCUAACCUUGUUCCUUGGGAUUAUGUUUUGAAAUAAAUUAUUCAGAGAAAUGAAGCCAAAGCUGACCCAUUAGCCAAUAGCUAGGUUCUGUGAUGACAGAGCUUCUGGGCUAUAAUCGUUUACUGAGAAGCCAGCGUUCCUGAGGGGAUAAUGGCUCGUUCCAUUCAGCUGCAGCAUAGGAGUGAGGGCAGGGCAUUAGCAGAAGAUAACACCAGAAACGUGCUCUGGGGCCUGUUGAUGACUUUCUGUGCCAAGCACAGACAUUUAGCCUUUAUUCUGUAUGUGAUGGGAAGCCAGUGCCAGUGGUGGGUUUGAGCAGGGAACCAGCAACCAGUGGUGGGUUUGAGCAGGGAACCAGCAAUACUCAAGCUCUGCUUGGAUGGAGGCCAGUCAGGGAGGAGUUAGGGCAGGAGGACCAGUCAGGGAGGAGACUUAGGGCAGGAGGACCAGUCAGGGAGGAGACUUAGGGCAGGAGGACCGGUCAGGGAGGAGACUUAGGGCAGGAGUACUGGUCAGGGAGGAGACUUAGGGCAGGAGGACCGGUCAGGGAGGAGACUUAGGGCAGGAGGACCGGUCAGGGAGGAGACUUAGGGCAGGAGGACCGGUCAGGGAGGAGUUAGGGCUGGAGGACGGGUCAGGGAGGAGACUUAGGGCAGGAGGACCGGUCAGGGAGGAGUUAGGGCUGGAGGACCGGUCAGGGAGGAGUUAGGGCAGGAGGACUGGUCAGGGAGGAGUUAGGGCUGGAGGACGGGUCAGGGAGGAGUUAGGGCUGGAGGACCGGUCAGGGAGGAGUUAGGGCAGGAGGACAGGUCAGGGAGGAGUUAGGGGAGGAGGACCGGUCAGGGAGGAGUUAG
RNAcentral lists this long non-coding RNA (1250 nucleotides) under Homo sapiens (human). Its description in RNAcentral is "non-protein coding lnc-MUC4-1:2". The record is from RNAcentral. Lineage: Eukaryota; Metazoa; Chordata; Mammalia; Primates; Hominidae.